UAUUGUUGGGGGGACACUUGGGUAACU
RNAcentral lists this non-coding RNA (27 nucleotides) under Rattus norvegicus (Norway rat). Lineage: Eukaryota; Metazoa; Chordata; Mammalia; Rodentia; Muridae. The record is from RNAcentral.